AGUGAACGCUGGCGGUAGGCCUAACACAUGCAAGUCGAACGGCAGCACAGUAAGAGCUUGCUCUUACGGGUGGCGAGUGGCGGACGGGUGAGGAAUACAUCGGAAUCUACUUUUUCGUGGGGGAUAACGUAGGGAAACUUACGCUAAUACCGCAUACGACCUACGGGUGAAAGCAUGGGAUCUUCGGACCUUGCGCGAUUGAAUGAGCCGAUGUCGGAUUAGCUAGUUGGCGGGGUAAAGGCCCACCAAGGCGACGAUCCGUAGCUGGUCUGAGAGGAUGAUCAGCCACACUGGAGCUGAGACACGGUCCAGACUCCUACGGGAGGCAGCAGUGGGGAAUAUUGGACAAUGGGCGCAAGCCUGAUCCAGCCAUACCGCGUGGGUGAAGAAGGCCUUCGGGUUGUAAAGCCCUUUUGUUGGGAAAGAAAAGCAGCAGGUUAAUACCCCGCUGUUCUGACGGUACCCAAAGAAUAAGCACCGGCUAACUUCGUG
This 492-nucleotide ribosomal RNA is filed under the name uncultured bacterium. RNAcentral describes it as "partial 16S ribosomal RNA". It matches the Rfam family "Bacterial small subunit ribosomal RNA", at positions 29 to 507 of the family's 1533-position model. The record is from RNAcentral.